This 497-nucleotide ribosomal RNA is filed under the name uncultured bacterium. RNAcentral's name for it is "partial 16S ribosomal RNA". It matches the Rfam family "Bacterial small subunit ribosomal RNA", at positions 28 to 507 of the family's 1533-position model. The record is from RNAcentral.
GAUGAACGCUGGCGGCGUGCCUAAUACAUGCAAGUCGAGCGAACAGACGAGGAGCUUGCUCCUCUUACGUUAGCUGCGGACGGGUGAGUAACACGUGGAUAACCUACCUUUUAGACUGGGAUAACUUCGGGAAACCGUAGCUAAUACCGGAUAAUAUUUUGAACCGCAUGGUUCAUUUGUGAAAGACGCUUUUGCUGUCCUUUAUAGAUGGAUCCGCUCCGCAUUAGCUAGUUGUUAAGGUAACGGCUUACCAAGCCGACGAUGCUUAGCCGACUUGAGAGGGUGAUCGGCCAAACUGGACCGGAGACACGGUCCAGACUCCUACGGGAGGAAGAAGAAGGGAAUCUUCCGCAAUGGGGGAAAGCCUGACGGGGCAACGCCGCGUGAGUGAUGAAGGUCUUCGGAUCGUAAGCCUCUGUUAUUAGGGAAGAACAAAUGUGUAAGUAACUAUGCACGUCGUGACGGUACCUAAUCAGAAAGCCACGGCUAACUACGUG